Molecule: small RNA, 26 nt
Filed under: Bombyx mori (domestic silkworm)
Lineage: Eukaryota; Metazoa; Arthropoda; Insecta; Lepidoptera; Bombycidae
Description: ovarian small RNA-9139
Source: RNAcentral
UGUUAAGUCAUAAGGAACUGGCAUAG